GGCUAAGGGCGCGGGUUCCUGCACUGUGUUCGGGGUCGAGUGGGGGGCAUGGUUGGCUUGAAGUGGAUCUUGAGGAUCUGGGCAUCCGGUUCUCUGGCCAACUUGGGCAUUGGGUAAGUCCCAGCUGUUCACUGGUCCCCACGCCGAGCCCAGGGAGGCGUUUCGGAGCCAAAUCUCUCAGGCUCCGUCGGGGGGAGAGUGAUGGGGAAGGGAGGCAAGAAGGAAUACAGUAAGAACCACUAGGAGGUAGGCACUUUGGGGGACACGUUGAGAAGGUCGGCCUGCCUCACGAAUAAGGAGCCGGUGCUGUUGAUGGUGGAGGAAGGGCCGGGGUUGCCUUUGUCUGAGGCUGCCUGGUGCUUCAAGGCUCGGGCUGUCCGGAACCAUCCUUUGUUGUUGCCACAAGGAGGGGGUUGACACUGCUUUUAGACUAGUCUUACUUGGGAUCACUUGGUGUGGGAGAAAAAGUCAUGAAAUUUGUUUUUAGAUACUCAAGGACAGGUUGGGAUUGGGGGGGGCGUGCUGGGGCAUGGAGAGGCCUGUGGACAGAGAGAUAAGGAAUGAACCCCGUGCCCUAGGUAACUGAAGCUUGGAGCUGGAGGAACCAGGGACCAGUUAGGGUCUGGGGCCAGAUGCAGCAGUCGUAUGAAGAUACGAGGAAAGCAGACUUGACAAAGUUUUGAUGAGGAAGAAAGAGAAAGUAAAACUUUUUAGAAAAGUGCCCCUCAUUUUAUCCGGCACACAGAAGGCACCCACUAAAUGGUAGCUAUUUUAUUAUUGGGAUAUUUGGUUUUCAAAGUAUUUUGUCCCCCCCAAAUUAAUCCCUGGGAAACUGUUGGUUUCUGUGGGUGGAAACUAGGAGGAGUGAAGGCAGGUUAACAUGACCAGCUUUAUGUGAUCUUACCGUGUAUUAUGCUCGUGAUCCCUGUUUGUUUUCCUGCUAGGAUGCCACCGGUCACUAGGCCUUGGGGUGUUUUUGGUUUUUGGUUUUUCUAUGUACGGGGAGUAUCUGCGGUCUUCACCCAGCAGUGGCUGCUCUACUUAAAAGAUAAGAUAGGAGAAACUACUCUGUAAUCUUUCCGUGGGGACCUCGCCACAGGUCCCCUGCAAAUUGCUAGUAUGGCCGUUCAUAAAAAGUUGUGUUGUUAACAGCCUGUUUAGUACGAAGUUUUGAAGCUCUUUGGUUUGUGGUUUCUGUUCUCCUGUGGAAUACAAUGGAGAUAGGCUACGCUGGAAUGUAAGAACAAAGUAGGAACAGAAAUAAGAGGGCUGACUCACAGCACUUGGAUUCCUGGCUUCCGUUUCACCUGUCUGGUUUCCAGUCUCUCACAUUCGCUCGCUCUCUCUCUCUCUCUCUCUCAAGUUUAUUUAUCUUUCUUUUUUGAGAGAGAGAGUGUAUGUACAUGAGCAGGAUAGAGGGAGAGAGAGAGAGAGAGAGAGAGAGAGAGAGAGAGAGAGAAUUCCAAGCAGGUUCCGUGGUGUCUGUGCAGAGCCUAACACGGAGCUUGAUCCCUUGACCCAGGGAUCAUGACCUGAACUGAAAUCAAGAGUUGGUCACUUAACUGACUGAGCCACCCAGGUGUCCUAAGUCUCACUUUCUUAAGUGUUCAGACAACAGCUACAGGAAUUUAGCCCUUAAAUUUAUUUAUAUUUUUUAAGCUUUAUUUGUUUAUUUUGUGUGUGUGUGUAUAUGAGAGAGAGAGCAUGAGCCUGGGAGGGGCAGGGAGAGGGAGAGAGAGAAUCCCAAGCAGAUUCCGCGCAAUCAGUGUGGAGCCCUGCGGAGCCCGACGUGGGGCUUGAACUCACAAACCGUGAGAUCAUGACCUGAGCCGAAACCAAGAGUCAGGGGCUUAACCAACUGAGCCACCCAGGCGCCCCAGCCUUUAAAUUUCUUGACCGUAGAGUUUCAACAUUUCCAUUCCCAUUUUGUUUCAUACCAGAUUGUCAUCUUGGUCGAUAAAUGUGUUGCAUAUAUGUUGAACCUAACAUCCACCUUUUGUGUUGCUUAGAAAAAUAAACUCGUGUGCAACUAUUAACCUGCAGAUCGGAGCAGGGUAGUGUGUGCGUGUUCCCGCAGCGGGGACUCAUUUAGCCAGGGUAAGACUUUGUAAAACAUUCAGACUCUUCUUCUCUUUAUUCUCUACACUUUUGACUUUACCAAGAGAAGCUGCCAGGCUGUCUGAUGGUUGCUUUUGCUAGUCAGAGCUACCUCUGUGCACCUUUCCUAGACCCAAGGUCACCGCUAGUAACUGGAGAGGCGCAGCUGCCAAACUGCCUUUCCUUUCUCCCUGUGCCACAGCUUUGCGAAGGGCUCAGAGCCUGAAGAACACCCACGGACUCUGUCCUGUUCCUGCUACCCGGUUCCCAAGGUGUGAUGCAGAGAGGUCUCAACCUGUGACCCAGGGAACAAAGACGACUGUGAGGUCCUCCUCCGGUCUUUUCUUUCUCCUGUUUAUCUGGAAUACACACAGAAGGGAGCCACAAAGGGAUCGGGUCCCGGCAGACAGAUGUCAGCAUAUCCAAAUCCUCCUUUUAACAAAGCCUGUCUUUUAUUUUCCUUUGUAAAAGUAACAUGCUCACCGAGGAAAGAGGAAACUUGGAAAUGCCGAAAGUAAUAAACGAAAACUACCUGUAAUUCUGCAUACACCGUUAACAUUUGUAUCUAGUUGCUAGUUGGGUUUUUGUUUGUUUGUUUGUUUUGUUUUUAAACGCAUUUGAGAUCACACGUGUCCAUGCUUAGCAUUUUGCCCUCUGGAGAGCAGGGACCAUGUCUGACCGCGUUACCUGAGUACCCUGUAUAUUGCUUAUGCAGCGCGGGCAUUCGGUGAGGAUUUUAAUGAAUAAGUAAAUACUUCUCUUAUUUAUCAUAUCGGAAACCAUCUUCCAUGCUCUUUAAAAACAAACCCUCUUAAAUUUCUGCCUGUUCAGAUCACCAUUGUUUUUUGCUUUCACGAGGAGCAGUGUCUGUUGAAUGAAUAGCCAUUAUCUUAUUGUUGAAUGUUUAUUAAGCCUUUGAAGAUAUGCACGGCCUUUUCACUAUCAGGGAAUUUGGGCAACAGUAACAAAUCUGGGACCUUGGCAAGUGUUAAAAGAUUAAGGGGGGGGGUGUUUCUGGGUCUUUGUUGUGAUGGAUGUGAUACAUGCUGUGGAUGAGAGAAUCCAGUCGCACCAACACCUGGGAGGAGUAACUGUCGGUGCCGGGUCAAGUUGAAGGGGACCAGCUGCUUCCCUCCUGGGUAUACAGUCUAGAGUGAGGGUUGCCAGGGGUUCCUGCGUGGCUCCGUCGGUUAAGAGUCCGGCUUCGGCUCAGGUCAUGAUCUCGUGGUCUGUGAGUUUAAGCCCCGCAUUGGUCUCUGUGCUGACAGCUCAGAGCCUGGAGCCCCUCCCCACUCACGCUCUUUCUCUCUCUGUCUCUCAAAAGAUAAACACACGUUAACAAACAAAGUGGGGGUUGACAGACGACCUUUGUAAAGGGCCAGAGAGUAAGUACUUCAGUCUUUGUGGACCCUUCCACUCUGCUAUUGGGGGCCUGAAGGCAGUCGGGAUGGUACCUAGACAGGUAGGUGUGGCCGAGUUCUAAUAAAACUUGAUUUGCAAGAAGUAGGCAGUGGACCAUAUCUGGCCCAAAGGCCGUAGUUUGCCACCUCUUUCUCCAGCGAGGAAGACCCCUGUGUUUGAGUUAGAAGAUGCAUGUAAUGAUACUCCCUGAAACACUGCUCGUAAUAAUGAAAACUUGGCAAGAGAGGAUCUUGGCCUAUUAGCAGACUGGAUAAACAGACUGUGGUUUAGCAGGCGAUAGAAAACUAAGUUGUGGUAGAGUGAUCUAGUUCGAGAUGUAUCUCAUGUAACUGAAUCUCAAAAAUUACGGGGUGCAGUCACGAAGUAAGUUGCAAAAAAGGUAGUCAUGGCAUAAUGCCGUUCGUGUAUACAGACGUGCCCGGUGUGAAACGGCCCGACGUGUUGCGGACACAUGUCAGUUAAACCCGGGUGGAAAUCCAGGCCCGGCCGUUUGCCAGCACCGUGACUUUGGUUAAAGAACUUCUCUGAGCCUCAGUUUCUUCCUCUGAUAAAUAGGGACUAAUUAUGCCUUCCCGGAAGGACUCUUACAAAGGUUAAGUGAGGUAUGUAUUGAAAACACUUAAAGAAUGUGAAAUUCAGUAACCCUAUCAGCAAGUGCCUGGCACACCUGAUUGGUAUUUUUCCAGCAUUCUUCCCUGGGCGUCCUCUGUUGCACGUGUUUCUAGAGAGGCAGGACUUGAAGGGUGGAGUAGGGGGCAUUGGUGGAGAGGAGAGCGUGUCCGCCUUGCACCUGGAAUGUGCGAGCUCAAUCCUUUCACCAGUUAGGUCUCAAUUCGUCUUUGUAAUAAAUGCGUGAGGCAUGGAUUUCUUCCCACUUCCCAGGUAGGGAGACUGAGGCUAAGACAUGAGCAGAUUUAUCGGAAGCUACAUCUGCAAGCUAGCAAGCCAUAGUCGGCUGCCCUUAAAGCCAUUGCUUUGUUCACUCUGUCCCCAGCCUUUGCUUUUCCCCUGUUGAGGGUCUCUCGUUUCCCUUGCUGUCUCUGCUCAGGUGAUCUCAUGGGGGUGCUGACAUCAUUGUUUCCUAGGAGGACUUCAGGAGGAGGUGAUGUGACUUGCCCCAGGCAGAGUUAACCUGCAUCAGACUCUGAAGCUCCUAUGGUGAAAAUCUACCAGGAAAAAAAAAAGGAAACUCUUAUCAUUUGUUUGGUGUCCAAACCGGGAACGAAGUCUGAUGUUCCGAAAUGGGAUGAAUUUUGAAAAGUCCCUUUCGAAAGUUCUGGAAGUACUUUUUCUCCACUCUGGUUUGAUGCUUUGGAACAUUAAUUUUUUCGGUGGGGCAGUAGGUGGAGGUAGGACCGGUUUUGUGAGACCGCCUCCUUCGUCGCUCCAGAUUCCUCGCGUCACCCUGUGUAGAACUUCGCAGUCAGUACUUUUGUCCCAAAUUGAAUCAUUGUCACCUCUCGUCUUUAAAAUGCCAUUGUCAUUAAAAUCCACUCUUGGAUACGAUUUUCUCAUUUUCACGAGUCCCUCCGAUCCCGAGUUAUUUGGCGUGAAAGUUAACUACCACUGUAUGUUGCAGGUUUUGAGAAUUAAAAAGUGUGAGAAAUUAGCCAUGUUUAAACAAUUAAUGGUGGACCGAUGGGAUUCAUUUUCAUUUUCAACUGGUGAGCCGCAGUCUCUUAUUAUCAGAAGUUACUCGCUUCGUGCUAUAGGAAUCCACUGGUUGUCUCGUUAAAUAUUUAAACUUGUAAUCAGGCUUCUAAAAAAAGGAACGUAGUAUUUUUUUAAGACGCCGAAGCUUUACCUUGCUAUCAGCUGCCUGUAACCUCUGUUACUCUAAAAGCUGAAGAAGCAGGUAGGUUUCAUUUUGAUCAACCGUCAGCUGGUAGGCCCGUUGGCCACUGUCACAAUGCCAUCAUGGGCUCCGAGGGGCGGCGCUUCUGAGUUCCUGAAAUGUAAGUUAUUGGGCAAGAUAGUGUGACUCUGGGGUUUGGAAGGAGUCCCAGCUCCCUCGCACGUGACCGGAGGGGGUGGAUGUUCGGGAAGGUUGGAAAGCCCACCGGCUGGGUAGUUUUAAUGGUGGCGUCUCUGCCUCUUCUGUCUUGUCUGGACGUGUGAUCUGCAGCAGCGUGAAAUUAAUGCAGGAAUCGAGCCUAAAGCUUUGAUUGAGUGUGGUACUAUAAAUACGAUUGAUGGAAGCAAAUCAUUCUUUUACUUAGCAAAGAUCUUAUGUAAAAAAACUACUCUUUAGGAUCAGAUGCGUGUGGUUUUCGGGCGACCUCAGAUGGCAAAUUUACUCUCAUUUAUGGUGCGUUUCAAAAAUUGUAGGGACUCACCGAAAGAAUCAGUAGAUACUCAUCGUCUUGGAAAGCUUCACACAAUGUAUUACCAAUUGAAAAAGACCCAGAUGUAAAAGCACGCACAUAAGUGGCACAUGCACACAAUACAGAAGGUUCUUAAGAAGCUUUCAAAGAAUUACAGGAGAUUCGUGUUGACGUUAAACAUUUCUUAAUUCCCACACCCACUCUCGGUCACAUGAAAGUAAAAGAUGGAUCACUGGCUUCUUUGUGAAAUAAGUUCUAACAGACUAUUGAAGGACGGAGCUUUUUUUUUUU
Neofelis nebulosa (Clouded leopard) is the source of this 6134-nucleotide long non-coding RNA. RefSeq lists it as uncharacterized. The transcript has 3 exons. Lineage: Eukaryota; Metazoa; Chordata; Mammalia; Carnivora; Felidae. The record is from RefSeq and is a predicted model, not a curated record.